Sapajus apella (tufted capuchin) is the source of this 269-nucleotide long non-coding RNA. RefSeq lists it as uncharacterized. NCBI's taxonomy places the organism in Eukaryota, Metazoa, Chordata, Mammalia, Primates, Cebidae. The record is from RefSeq and is a predicted model, not a curated record. The transcript has 3 exons.
GUGUGAAUUAAAUGUGUCUAUUACAGGGGUCUACAUGUCAGGAUACCUGGUGUGAAUUAAGUAGGUCUACACAGGGGUCUACACAUCAGGACACCCAAUGUGAAUUAAGUAGGUCCAUCACAGGGGUCUAUACAUCAGGACACCUGGUGUGAAUUAAGUAGGUCUACACAGGGGUCUACACGUCAGGACACCCAGUGUGGAUUAAGUAGGUCUAUCACAGGGGUCUAUACAUCGGGCACUCAGUGUGAACUGAGCAGGUCUCCACAGGG